RNAcentral lists this ribosomal RNA (253 nucleotides) under uncultured bacterium. Its description in RNAcentral is "partial 16S ribosomal RNA". It matches the Rfam family "Bacterial small subunit ribosomal RNA", at positions 524 to 776 of the family's 1533-position model. The record is from RNAcentral.
UACGUAGGGGGCUAGCGUUGUCCGGAAUCAUUGGGCGUAAAGAGCGUGUAGGCGGUCCGGUAAGUCCGCUGUGAAAGUCGGGGGCUCAACCCUCGAAUGCCGGUGGAUACUGUCGGGCUAGAGUGCGGAAGAGGCGAGUGGAAUUCCUGGUGUAGCGGUGAAAUGCGCAGAUAUCAGGAGGAACACCUAUUGCGAAGGCAGCUCGCUGGGACGUAACUGACGCUGAGGAGCGAAAGCGUGGGUAGCAAACAGG